UGGCCAACUUGGACCAAACUAGCGGCAUAGCUGAGAUGAGGAAGACCGGGGCUCAGAGAGGUGAUGCAACUUACCCAAGGCCACACAGCCAGGACACGUGGAGCUAAUAUUUGAACCCACACAAAGGGACAAGGUAGGAAGCCCGAGGCACAAAAAGUGCACACAGCUGAUAGGUGGAAGAGCCACAAAGUGAACCAGCUGUCUGAUCCAUCAUCCAGGCCCUUCCUUACUAACGACACCCCUCUACUGAAGGUGGGCUGCACCCCUUUACCCGCAAAGCAAGGCAGGUAGGAAGUCUAAGACCAGGGUGUCAGCGUGGUCAGGCUCUUGGUGAAGGCUCUUCCUGGCUUACAGAUGGCUGUCUUCUUGUGUGAUCUUACGUGGCGGAGAGCUCUGCUCUCUACCACCCUCAUAAGGGCGCUCAUUCCAGCGUGACGACUCCAGCCUCGUGACCUGAUUGUCUCCCAAUGGCUCCGCAUCAAAUAUCUCCACUUUGGGGAUUUAGGCUUCAGCGCACAAACCCGGGGGGACAGAUAUAGUCCGUAUACUUGA
Long non-coding RNA from Talpa occidentalis (Iberian mole), 552 nucleotides. RefSeq lists it as uncharacterized. NCBI's taxonomy places the organism in Eukaryota, Metazoa, Chordata, Mammalia, Eulipotyphla, Talpidae. The record is from RefSeq and is a predicted model, not a curated record. The transcript is spliced from 4 exons.